AGUGGGAUGACGUCAAGUCAGCAUGGCCCUUAUAUCCCUGGGCUACACACACGCUACAAUGGGAAGGGACAAUAGGUUGCGAAGCCGCGAGGCGGAGCCAAUCCAGCAAAACUUCCCUCAGUUCAGAUUGCAGGCUGCAACUCGCCUGCAUGAAGUUGGAGUUGCUAGUAAACGCAGGUCAGCCAUACUGCGUUGAAUACGUUCCCGGGGCUU
RNAcentral lists this ribosomal RNA (213 nucleotides) under uncultured Anaerolineaceae bacterium. Its description in RNAcentral is "partial 16S ribosomal RNA". It matches the Rfam family "Bacterial small subunit ribosomal RNA", at positions 1173 to 1382 of the family's 1533-position model. The record is from RNAcentral. Lineage: Bacteria; Bacillati; Chloroflexota; Anaerolineae; Anaerolineales; Anaerolineaceae.